RNAcentral lists this unclassified non-coding RNA (737 nucleotides) under Hevea brasiliensis (rubber tree). Lineage: Eukaryota; Viridiplantae; Streptophyta; Magnoliopsida; Malpighiales; Euphorbiaceae. The record is from RNAcentral.
CUUAGACUUGUGGUGCUCGUGAGGUUCUUAAACGCAGUGCAGUUUGGGGGAAGGGGUUCUGGCCAUCUUGCCGUCGACCCUCUCUCCUCUUCUUUUCUUUUCUAUAGAGAGUUUUUUUAGUUCUUAGAUGGGUUUUUUUUCGUUUUUUCUAGUUUUCUCAGUCUCCAAUAUGGAGUCAUAGUACCCCUUCUCUAGAUGGGGCUUUUGUUGGGUGUUCUACGGGAGAUUAAUCGACUCCCUUCCCCUGUGUUGUGAAGCGCUUCGGAGCACUGUCGGUUGGCAAAUUAAAAGGCGGGCACCAUAUGGGUCACCUGUGCCUAACCCUUUCCCGGUUUGUCCGGCCAUGGUCCAAGUCCCGGCUCUUAUUUGGUGGUUGCUGCAGUUUCCCGUUUUCCAUAUGGGUUUGCAAGGGUGAGCAUGAAGGCUUUUGGAUCAAGUGGGUGCUCAUGCACUCCAUUUGAUGUUUCUAUGUAUCUCCCUGCAUGUAAGUUUUCCAAGCUACCACAUUGUAUCUCCUUCAAAAGCUUAUGAAGUGUUGUCGAAGACAAGUCGGCAGCUAUGACUGAUGAAUCAAGAAGGUUGCUGAUGAAAAUGAUCUCCGGGUCAACCCGGUUAGUUUGGGGCUUCAUGUUCAUUUGGGUUUAGGUCUCUAGGCUUGGUUUGGGUUGAGAUUAAUGUGGUACUGUAUCUUUUAGUGGACUUGACCAUGUAAGCUUAUUUCAUCAAUGAAAUAUCUU